AAUUACACAAUGUCUACGGUGAGAAAUGUUGAUGUAAACACAAAGCUAACACUCCGAGAUACUCGCAAGAGACGUGAGGGAGGAACUGAAGACCUGUGCGAUGGGAGUUUUACCGUGUUUAUCAACGUCUUGGUGAGGUUUUUGAGAUCCUAUGGAAAAUUACAUAUGGAUUCUACGUGACGAGAGAGAUGGCGAGCCACCCAUGAACCUGAUCUCUGCCUUGACCCAAGGAGUUGGAUCAAGAUCACCUUUUAUCCGCAGGAGCCCAUCCAUUCUUCCAUCUCCAUCAGUUGAGCUUCACACUCCAGUGUGGUAGUAGUAUCAAGAGGACCUUUUACACUUGACUUCUGACUUAAAAAGUGCAUUUGUCACAAUAAAGGAUUAAAAUUAAACUCAACAGUUUAUAACAGAAGGAACAAAACUGAACUUGAACUUGAAUAAGACAACCAGUGGAACUCUGUUAUUUUUUGUCAGGGACACAUAUUAUUUUCUGGUAAUACUGUUACCUUGUGAAGCAUUGAACUAACUAUGUUUAAAGGGUUAACAUCUGAGUGCCAAUCUACAGACUAAGGAGGGGAGAAGAGUGCAAACUUCAUAAUCCAGCCCGGUUCCCCAGUGUUUGUCUGUACUUCCAAGGAAAGUAGGCUCUAUUUCAACACUAAUUACAGGGAAAGUAGGUUCUACUUACACACUAAGGAGGGGAGAACAGUGCAAACUUCAUAAUCCAGCCCGGUUCCCCAGCGUUAGUCUGUACUUCCAGGGAAAGUAGGCUCUACUUACACACUAAUUACAUUACUGUACUGUACUGUAGUAUGGAUGAGAGAAUAGCACCUGUCAUGUGAUUUCUUUGUAAUUAAAAAAUAAAAACAUUUUAUAACUCUC
Long non-coding RNA from Epinephelus moara (kelp grouper), 882 nucleotides. RefSeq lists it as uncharacterized. Lineage: Eukaryota; Metazoa; Chordata; Actinopteri; Perciformes; Serranidae. The transcript is spliced from 2 exons. The record is from RefSeq and is a predicted model, not a curated record.